RNAcentral lists this long non-coding RNA (268 nucleotides) under Mytilus galloprovincialis (Mediterranean mussel). Lineage: Eukaryota; Metazoa; Mollusca; Bivalvia; Mytilida; Mytilidae. The record is from RNAcentral.
UCUGAAUAUUAAUUCAGUUUUCUUUUUAAAUAUUUUAAAACUGGAUUCGACGUAGCUAAAUUGUGGGAGAUAGUUAGUUUGAACUCUGGCCUGGUCAACUUAAAUUCUAAAAAAAAAAUUGUGUGUGUCUAUGCUAAGCAUGCGAUAUCUGCUAAAAACUGUGGUCACACCUUACCAGAUAGCUCGAACGAACGCCGAAAGGAUAAACAAAAGUUUUACAUUUACAAAAGGAAACUAACGACCUUAUUAAUAAUUUUAAAAAAACGAA